Molecule: small RNA, 651 nt
Filed under: Pan troglodytes (chimpanzee)
Lineage: Eukaryota; Metazoa; Chordata; Mammalia; Primates; Hominidae
Description: processed transcript
Source: RNAcentral
GGUGGGAGCGAUGAGGGUCUGAGACGGUGGGAGCGGUUGUGUGAAGAUGGAGUUUCCCGGAGGAAAUGACAAUUACCUGACGAUCACAGGGCCUUCGCACCCCUUCCUGUCAGGGGCCGAGACAUUCCAUACACCAAGCUUGGGUGAUGAGGAAUUUGAAAUCCCACCUAUCUCCUUGGAUUCUGAUCCCUCAUUGGCUGUCUCAGAUGUGGUUGGACAUUUUGAUGACCUGGCAGACCCUUCCUCUUCACAGGAUGGCAGUUUUUCAGCCCAGUAUGGGGUCCAGACAUUGGACAUGCCUGUGGGCAUGACCCAUGGCUUGAUGGAGCAGGGCGGGGGGCUCCUGAGUGGGGGCUUGACCAUGGUAAGGGGCAAGACAUUGUCAGGCUUACCCCAGCUAAUGGGCAUGGCAUUAGGGGAGACAAAAGUUACUCUAUUCCCUACUACACUUGGGUAUUACUUGUUUCUCUUCUUGUGGCUAAAGGCUCACCAACAAAGACUUAAUUUCACCUGAAUAAAUGAAAUUUACCAUGACUUGGACCACUCUAUAGGAACUCAGUAUAGUGCCAACCCACCUGUUACAAUUGAUGUACCAAUGACAGACAUGACAUCUGGCUUGAUGGGGCAUAGCCAGUUGACCACCAUUGAUCA